AGACUCCUACGGGAGGCAGCAGUGGGGAAUAUUGGACAAUGGGCGAAAGCCUGAUCCAGCAAUGCCGCGUGAGUGAUGAAGGCCUUAGGGUUGUAAAGCUCUUUUACCAGGGAUGAUAAUGACAGUACCUGGAGAAUAAGCUCCGGCUAACUCCGUGCCAGCAGCCGCGGUAAUACGGAGGGAGCUAGCGUUGUUCGGAAUUACUGGGCGUAAAGCGUACGUAGGCGGUUAUUCAAGUCAGGGGUGAAAGCCUGGAGCUCAACUCCAGAACUGCCCUUGAAACUAGAUAACUAGAAUCUUGGAGAGGUGAGUGGAAUUCCGAGUGUAGAGGUGAAAUUCGUAGAUAUUCGGAAGAACACCAGUGGCGAAGGCGACUCACUGGACAAGUAUUGACGCUGAGGUACGAAAGCGUGGGAGCAAACAGGAUUAGAUACCCUGGUAGUCCACGCCGUAAACGAUGAUAACUAGCUGUUCGGGCUCUACGAGCUUGAGUGGCGCAGCUAACGCAUUAAGUUAUCCGCCUGGGGAGUACGGUCGCAAGAUUAAAACUCAAAGGAAUUGACGGGGGCCUGCACAAGCGGUGGAGCAUGUGGUUUAAUUCGAAGCAACGCGCAGAACCUUACCAGCGUUUGACAUCCUAAUCGCGGAUUCCAGAGAUGGAUUCCUUCAGUUCGGCUGGAUUAGUGACAGGUGCUGCAUGGCUGUCGUCAGCUCGUGUCGUGAGAUGUUGGGUUAAGUCCCGCAACGAGCGCAACCCUCGUCCUUAGUUGCCAUCAUUCAGUUGGGCACUCUAAGGAAACUGCCGGUGAUAAGCCGGAGGAAGGUGGGGAUGACGUCAAGUCCUCAUGGCCCUUACACGCUGGGCUACACACGUGCUACAAUGGCGGUGACAGUGGGCAGCAACCGGGCGACCGGUAGCUAAUCUCCAAAAACCGUCUCAGUUCGGAUUGUUCUCUGCAACUCGAGAGCAUGAAGGCGGAAUCGCUAGUAAUCGCGGAUCAGCAUGCCGCGGUGAAUACGUUCCCAGGCCUUGUACACACCGCCCGU
RNAcentral lists this ribosomal RNA (1047 nucleotides) under alpha proteobacterium D-A(2)-9. Its description in RNAcentral is "bacterial SSU rRNA". It matches the Rfam family "Bacterial small subunit ribosomal RNA", at positions 333 to 1397 of the family's 1533-position model. The record is from RNAcentral. Lineage: Bacteria; Pseudomonadati; Pseudomonadota; Alphaproteobacteria.